Oncorhynchus keta (chum salmon) is the source of this 744-nucleotide long non-coding RNA. RefSeq lists it as uncharacterized. Lineage: Eukaryota; Metazoa; Chordata; Actinopteri; Salmoniformes; Salmonidae. The record is from RefSeq and is a predicted model, not a curated record. The transcript has 3 exons.
AUUGGAAGGUUUAACAGGCCAGGUAGAGGAGGCAUUGGAGGCCAGGUAGAGGAGGGAUUGGAAGGUUUUAACAGGCUAGGUAGAGGAGGCAUUGGAAGGUUUAACAGGCCAGGUAGAGGAGGCAUUGGAAGGUUUAACAGGCCAGGUAGAGGAGGCAUUGGAGGCCAGGUAGAGGAGGGAUUGGAAGGUUUUAACAGGCUAGGUAGAGGAGGCAUUGGAAGGUUUAACAGGCCAGGUAGAGGAGGCAUUGGAAGGUUUAACAGGCCAGGUAGAGGAGGCAUUGGAGGCCAGGUAGAGGAGGGAUUGGAAGGUUUUAACAGGCUAGGUAGAGGAGGCAUUGGAAGGUUUAACAGGCCAGGUAGAGGAGGCAUUGGAAGGUUUAACAGGCCAGGUAGAGGAGGCAUUGGAGGCCAGGUAGAGGAGGGAUUGGAAGGUUUAACAGGAUUGGUAGAGGAGGCAUUGGAAGGUUUAACAGGCCAGGUAGAGGAGGCAUUGGAAGGUUAACAGGCCAGGUAGAGGAGGCAUUGGAAGGUUAACAGGCCAGGUAGAGGAGGCAUUGGAAGGUUAACAGGCCAGGUAGAGGAGGCAUUGGAGGCCAGGUAGAGGAGGUAUUGGAAAGUUAACAGGCCAGGUAGAGGAGGCAUUGGAGGCCAGGGAGAGGAGGUAUUGGAAGGUUUAACAGGCUUGGUAGAGGAGGCAUUGGAAGGUUUAACAGGCCAGGUAGAGGAGGCAUUGGAGGCCAGG